This is a long non-coding RNA of Mustela erminea (ermine), 232 nucleotides long. RefSeq lists it as uncharacterized. Lineage: Eukaryota; Metazoa; Chordata; Mammalia; Carnivora; Mustelidae. The record is from RefSeq and is a predicted model, not a curated record. The transcript has 3 exons.
UGGGGGCUGGGCAGGGCUGUGCAUGCGGGGUCGGUAUUCUCUCAUCUCUUCUGACCUUCUUAUCUUACAGAAGGAAAAAGGGGACCAGAGAGGGGGACAAGCUUGCACAAUUAACACAUAGAGGCUGAGGAAGGUCUCGAGAUCAGGUGCUUGUGCUUAAGAAUACAGAGAGGAACAAGACACAGCACCAAUCCUCCAGGAACUCACUCUCAUAGGAAUGAAGGGACAGGGA